Molecule: small RNA, 84 nt
Organism: Lachnospiraceae bacterium 3-1
Lineage: Bacteria; Bacillati; Bacillota; Clostridia; Lachnospirales; Lachnospiraceae
Rfam family: GA-cis RNA
Source: Rfam
UUGAGGAGGAAGGCAAUGCGAAGCAUUUUAAGAAUGCCUUCCGACGAGUUGCCGCCGAGCGAAGGCGAGGGGGCGUUACCUUAA